GGUGUAGCCAUAGUCCUUUCUCACGUCCAUGAAGCCAUCAAAGCGAUCGGGCCCGCCGACCAUGGCGCCGGUGAUCACAUUGGGGUUGGAGGAUUUGGCAUAGAGCCACUUCCGCCCACCGGUGCACGAGUACUUGACGCCAUUGUCAGGGAUGGAUGCGCCACGGUGAUGCACCUGCUUCGGGUACUUGUUGCCAUAACCCACCACAUAACUCAUCUUCUUUGGGUUGUCUCCUAAGAUGUAAUUCAUCUGUGAUACAAGGAUGGCUAAAUUAGCUGCAGUGGAAAGGAGGUCAGAGUGAUGGAAACGCCGAUGCUGGCAUCAAAUUUUUAUAAUUGGUGGAAAUGAAUUGAGCCAAAAAAAUUGAGUGCUGCAUCAGUGGAAAAGAUCAGAGGUUAUUAAGGGGGAACCUGGGAGGCGGCGAAGCUUCGGAGGGAGCUGGUGGAGAAGUAGAAGGGCCCGCAAUACCAUCCGGGGACAUUAGCAGCGUCCAUAUAGUCGGCAUACAGGGAUGCCAGGAAUGCCGUAGCCGCUACAUAUUGUAGCGGCUGAGGUCUUCCGUGGUUCAGUUGGAUCAUUCCACCUGCAUGCAACCAUAUCUUGUUAAUUAAUAAGCAAAUGAGUGUGUGUAUAUAUAUAUAUAUUACAGAAGGUGUCAGCUUGUCAAACUCGUAAACUUCUUGGUUAGUAAUAUUCAAUAUUUCUUGACUAUAUCACAUUUAAGAGUUUGUAUUCUAUAAAUCUAAGGUUUUCUAUA
Elaeis guineensis (African oil palm) is the source of this 757-nucleotide non-coding RNA. Lineage: Eukaryota; Viridiplantae; Streptophyta; Magnoliopsida; Arecales; Arecaceae. The record is from RefSeq and is a predicted model, not a curated record.